ACUAUAUAAUAGGAGUUCUGUACAACAUAGAUAAUAAUUACAUCAUAUGAUGACAAUGAUCCUCCGCAACCAUAGUUUACUGGGAGACGAUGGCCUAGACCUCUCACGAACUCAUCACGGCAUCCUUCAUGUUCCUUAUCUUGUGGUACAUGUCCUUGACCUAGGAGGAAUUUGAGUACAGCAAGGGUGAGCUCACAUAUGUUCAUCGCUCAACAAAUUGUGGGGAAUAAUGUGCAUGAGCUCACUUAUGGUGGGGGUUCAUGUGAAGUGUAAGGCUUACCAAAGAAGAUGGUUAAAGCUGAGCAUUGCUUUUAAAGUUGGUCAAAAUUUUAUUAGCAGUUACUAAGUAUAAGUAGAUAGCAACCCAAUCAAAUAAGAGAUCACAAUUAAUAAUAAACCCACAAUGCAAUGCAAAUGACAAAUUAAGUUUAAAUACAUAUGUUAAUCAUGUGAGUGUCUGAGCCGCUUAUGAUCGUGAGUACAGCCGAUAUACCAGUUUUGCACUUUGCAGAGGUUGCACAUCUUUACCUAUAAGUCGUGUUAGCCAUUUGCCAAGGGAUCACGACUUCCCAUUCAUCUCUAAUGAGGAGACGAGGUAGAGUAGCACUACGAGGCCUUUCCAAAGUUCCACUAGUUCGAGAAAACCCGCUACAGAUUCAGGAAGAAGGAAGCAUAGGAAUCCCUUGUCCCAAAAGCUUUACAGACAGUUCAACCCGAGGACCUCCCUAUACUCUACAGCAAUGCCUCUCCGCUUGCCCGUUUUGGGUAAGGUAAUCUCUCCCUAGCUUUCCUAAUUACUUGGCCAAGGGCGUCCCAUUCCACCCUUGUGGUAGCAAUGUUUUCCCGGGUGGUUCUCCAUGUUCCAAUUAAUACAAUAAUCUUAUCAUGAAUAAUAAUUAAACCAACAGUAUUAAUGGAACAUGAUCAUAUAUAACAUUAAUGUUCCAAAACCAGGUAGAGCAAUAGCAAAUCUACCCAAUAGUUCAUUUGUUUGCAAGGUGUGGGAUAAACAAUACUAGGGAAACCUAUUAGGUCCCAUAAAAUUAACCUAAGCAUGUCACAGUGAUUAAUAGGAGCAUUAUUAGGUAAAGAGGAGUGAUCAAGGGCACAACUUGCCUUAUACUAGAGACUUCAGGUGCUUCACCAAGUUGGUCUUCGAGUUUCUCGUGACCUUGCUACUACUCCUAGCAAUACAUACAAAUAGACAAGGAAUACAUAAAGAUAACAUUGCACCAAACACGAGAACAAACAACAUAAGAAUAUUCUACGAGCCGCUACGAGAUCGCAGGUUUGAGAACUACUAAAAUCAGAGUUACUGUUAAAACAAAUGGUUUUCUGAAUUUUUAGGUGAUUAAAUAGUAAAUAUAUAUUAAUUAAUAUAAAUCACGUGAGAAAAAUAUUAUGGAGAAACAACUAAUUCAGUUAUAAUCUAAGUGAUAACUUGAUUAGCAAUCAUAUUCUAGGCAUCUUAUAAUUAUAAAUAGAUUAACUUUGACUAGACAUCUAUUGGCAUAUGUUACACAAAUAUCUAUUUUUGAGAACAUGUUACCUAACAAAAUAAUGUUACAAAAACGUAGGCAAUAUUAUUACGAAGCUAACGCAACUAGAACGGAGCAAAACAGAGUUGAAACGAAGAAGAUAUGAUUUUUUGCAAAUUUGUAGGUUUAUUUUUAUACAUAUAAUUUAAUUUCCAGAUCUUUAUUUUAAUUAAACUGGUCUCAUGUACUACGGGUUAUAUUCCUUAGGAGCUUAGGGUCAAUCGGGUGAAAAACAGGACCUAUGCGCAAUUAGUUUUGACUAGGGCCAAACUGUGGGUUCAUUUGAUAUAAGAAGAGGGACUUUUUUUAGAAAGUGGGUCGGUUGUAUCAAGGUGGGUGAAAUCUGAGCCAUUUGAUUUAAGAUCGAUGAUCAUUACAAAAAAUCUGAACCGGGAUGCAAUGUGGACUGUCCAUUCAGAGAUCGACGGAUCCUGUUUAAUGAAACGAAGGGGUUCCCUCGAUCUAAUCUAGAUCGUUGAUUUACGGAUCAGCGGCUACCUCUCUUCUUCCCCACCUAGCCGCAACAGUCGGUGGCGCCCAUAGCCGCGCGGUGGCGCCAUGGCUAGGGUAGGGCCAUCAGAUGAUCCUUCACUCCAAAGCCAAGGCUAACCAGGGUAACACGAAGAGGAGGGAAAGUCGAAUAGUGUGGGGGUUUCUCACCGGUGUUCGAGACGCAAUCGAUGCUCCCCACUGUGACGCGCGGACCCGCAGCGACGGAGGAGCGACAUCGAGGAAUCGGUGGCGCUUCGGUGGAUCACAUCGCCUGGGUAGGCCACAAUCAGUUUUGGUAGACUCCUGUGAUCACUCCAGGCCAAGCUUCAAGGCCGGUGCACCAACGAGCCAAGAAGACCAUGCCGACGGCUGCACUUAUCCCUCUCGGCGAUGACGGUGGCUGGGAACCCAGAGUGGAGCGGCGAUGUUCAAAGCAGACACGACACUGAGGCAUUUAUACCCCAAGUUU
Molecule: long non-coding RNA, 2499 nt
Filed under: Zea mays
Lineage: Eukaryota; Viridiplantae; Streptophyta; Magnoliopsida; Poales; Poaceae
Description: long non-coding RNA (ZMAY_LNC001109)
Source: RNAcentral